ACGGAGGGUGCAAGCGUUGUUCGGAAUUACUGGGCGUAAAGGGCGCGUAGGCGGUUUUAUAAGUCAGAUGUGAAAGCCCACGGCUUAACUGUGGAAGUGCAUUUGAAACUGUGAGACUUGAGUACCAGAGGGGAAAGUGGAAUUCCCGGUGUAGAGGUGAAAGUCGUAGAUAUCGGGAGGAAUACCGGUGGCGAAGGCGACAUUCAGGAUGGAUUCUGACACUGAGGCGGGAAAGCGUGGAGAGGAAACAG
Molecule: ribosomal RNA, 251 nt
Filed under: uncultured prokaryote
Description: partial 16S rRNA
Rfam family: Bacterial small subunit ribosomal RNA
Source: RNAcentral